Molecule: ribosomal RNA, 253 nt
Filed under: uncultured bacterium
Lineage: Bacteria
Description: partial 16S ribosomal RNA
Rfam family: Bacterial small subunit ribosomal RNA
Source: RNAcentral
UACGAAGGAUUCGAGCGUUAUCCGGAUUUAUUGGGCGUAAAGGGUGUGUAGGUGGCGCCGUAAGUCGGGUGUGAAAUUUCGGAGCUUAACUCCGAAACUGCAUUCGAUACUGCGGUGCUUGAGGACUGGAGAGGAGACUGGAAUUCAUGGUGUAGCAGUGAAAUGCGUAGAGAUCAUGAGGAAGACCAGUGGCGAAGGCGGGUCUCUGGACAGUUCCUGACACUGAGACACGAAGGCCAGGGGAGCAAACGGG